CACGCUCACCCUCAACUUGGAUCGUCCGGCACGUUCCUGCCGGUAGAAGGGAUCAACC
Molecule: non-coding RNA, 58 nt
Organism: Rhodococcus erythropolis PR4
Lineage: Bacteria; Bacillati; Actinomycetota; Actinomycetes; Mycobacteriales; Nocardiaceae
Source: Rfam